Molecule: long non-coding RNA, 424 nt
Organism: Bolinopsis microptera
Lineage: Eukaryota; Metazoa; Ctenophora; Tentaculata; Lobata; Bolinopsidae
Exons: 3
Source: RefSeq, a predicted model, not a curated record
UGCUUGUAGAGUUCCGUUUGUGGUUGGAAUCGGAUCGGUUUGUUUGUUCACAACGAUUUCGCAACGGAAUAUGGUAGUACUAGCUAAGACCCUUACGAUCAUAUUGUUGCCAACUUUGUCGCGCUGCCACUCCCUAUUUUGCUUCGCCCCUGGGAUCAUUCUACUGUACCAUAUUAUUGGAAUGCUGUGGAGGAAGACUUGAACUCGAAGUGUGUGGGGUGUAGGCCCGCCCUGCGUUCCCCAGGGAUGCCCGAUAGAUAAAGAUUUCUCACAUUGUUCAUUCGUGAACUGCAAUCGAAAGAUUACUAUAAUCUUGUCUAAAUAAUAACGUUUCUCGGGUCAACUUUACGCUAGAUAACUGCAUUCUUUGCCAAGAGGUGGCAACCAAACAAAAAGUUGCCCUAGUGUUGAAAUUAUCGACAAG